Molecule: ribosomal RNA, 2437 nt
Filed under: Escherichia coli
Lineage: Bacteria; Pseudomonadati; Pseudomonadota; Gammaproteobacteria; Enterobacterales; Enterobacteriaceae
Description: partial 23S ribosomal RNA
Rfam family: Bacterial large subunit ribosomal RNA
Source: RNAcentral
CGGGACACGUGGUAUCCUGUCUGAAUAUGGGGGGACCAUCCUCCAAGGCUAAAUACUCCUGACUGACCGAUAGUGAACCAGUACCGUGAGGGAAAGGCGAAAAGAACCCCGGCGAGGGGAGUGAAAAAGAACCUGAAACCGUGUACGUACAAGCAGUGGGAGCACGCUUAGGCGUGUGACUGCGUACCUUUUGUAUAAUGGGUCAGCGACUUAUAUUCUGUAGCAAGGUUAACCGAAUAGGGGAGCCGAAGGGAAACCGAGUCUUAACUGGGCGUUAAGUUGCAGGGUAUAGACCCGAAACCCGGUGAUCUAGCCAUGGGCAGGUUGAAGGUUGGGUAACACUAACUGGAGGACCGAACCGACUAAUGUUGAAAAAUUAGCGGAUGACUUGUGGCUGGGGGUGAAAGGCCAAUCAAACCGGGAGAUAGCUGGUUCUCCCCGAAAGCUAUUUAGGUAGCGCCUCGUGAAUUCAUCUCCGGGGGUAGAGCACUGUUUCGGCAAGGGGGUCAUCCCGACUUACCAACCCGAUGCAAACUGCGAAUACCGGAGAAUGUUAUCACGGGAGACACACGGCGGGUGCUAACGUCCGUCGUGAAGAGGGAAACAACCCAGACCGCCAGCUAAGGUCCCAAAGUCAUGGUUAAGUGGGAAACGAUGUGGGAAGGCCCAGACAGCCAGGAUGUUGGCUUAGAAGCAGCCAUCAUUUAAAGAAAGCGUAAUAGCUCACUGGUCGAGUCGGCCUGCGCGGAAGAUGUAACGGGGCUAAACCAUGCACCGAAGCUGCGGCAGCGACGCUUAUGCGUUGUUGGGUAGGGGAGCGUUCUGUAAGCCUGUGAAGGUGUGCUGUGAGGCAUGCUGGAGGUAUCAGAAGUGCGAAUGCUGACAUAAGUAACGAUAAAGCGGGUGAAAAGCCCGCUCGCCGGAAGACCAAGGGUUCCUGUCCAACGUUAAUCGGGGCAGGGUGAGUCGACCCCUAAGGCGAGGCCGAAAGGCGUAGUCGAUGGGAAACAGGUUAAUAUUCCUGUACUUGGUGUUACUGCGAAGGGGGGACGGAGAAGGCUAUGUUGGCCGGGCGACGGUUGUCCCGGUUUAAGCGUGUAGGCUGGUUUUCCAGGCAAAUCCGGAAAAUCAAGGCUGAGGCGUGAUGACGAGGCACUACGGUGCUGAAGCAACAAAUGCCCUGCUUCCAGGAAAAGCCUCUAAGCAUCAGGUAACAUCAAAUCGUACCCCAAACCGACACAGGUGGUCAGGUAGAGAAUACCAAGGCGCUUGAGAGAACUCGGGUGAAGGAACUAGGCAAAAUGGUGCCGUAACUUCGGGAGAAGGCACGCUGAUAUGUAGGUGAAGUCCCUCGCGGAUGGAGCUGAAAUCAGUCGAAGAUACCAGCUGGCUGCAACUGUUUAUUAAAAACACAGCACUGUGCAAACACGAAAGUGGACGUAUACGGUGUGACGCCUGCCCGGUGCCGGAAGGUUAAUUGAUGGGGUCAGCGCAAGCGAAGCUCUUGAUCGAAGCCCCGGUAAACGGCGGCCGUAACUAUAACGGUCCUAAGGUAGCGAAAUUCCUUGUCGGGUAAGUUCCGACCUGCACGAAUGGCGUAAUGAUGGCCAGGCUGUCUCCACCCGAGACUCAGUGAAAUUGAACUCGCUGUGAAGAUGCAGUGUACCCGCGGCAAGACGGAAAGACCCCGUGAACCUUUACUAUAGCUUGACACUGAACAUUGAGCCUUGAUGUGUAGGAUAGGUGGGAGGCUUAGAAGUGUGGACGCCAGUCUGCAUGGAGCCGACCUUGAAAUACCACCCUUUAAUGUUUGAUGUUCUAACGUUGACCCGUAAUCCGGGUUGCGGACAGUGUCUGGUGGGUAGUUUGACUGGGGCGGUCUCCUCCUAAAGAGUAACGGAGGAGCACGAAGGUUGGCUAAUCCUGGUCGGACAUCAGGAGGUUAGUGCAAUGGCAUAAGCCAGCUUGACUGCGAGCGUGACGGCGCGAGCAGGUGCGAAAGCAGGUCAUAGUGAUCCGGUGGUUCUGAAUGGAAGGGCCAUCGCUCAACGGAUAAAAGGUACUCCGGGGAUAACAGGCUGAUACCGCCCAAGAGUUCAUAUCGACGGCGGUGUUUGGCACCUCGAUGUCGGCUCAUCACAUCCUGGGGCUGAAGUAGGUCCCAAGGGUAUGGCUGUUCGCCAUUUAAAGUGGUACGCGAGCUGGGUUUAGAACGUCGUGAGACAGUUCGGUCCCUAUCUGCCGUGGGCGCUGGAGAACUGAGGGGGGCUGCUCCUAGUACGAGAGGACCGGAGUGGACGCAUCACUGGUGUUCGGGUUGUCAUGCCAAUGGCACUGCCCGGUAGCUAAAUGCGGAAGAGAUAAGUGCUGAAAGCAUCUAAGCACGAAACUUGCCCCGAGAUGAGUUCUCCCUGACUCCUUGAGAGUCCUGAAGGAA